ACGUAGGGUGCAAGCGUUAAUCGGAAUUACUGGGCGUAAAGCGUGCGCAGGCGGUUUUGUAAGACAGAGGUGAAAUCCCCGGGCUCAACCUGGGAACUGCCUUUGUGACUGCAAGGCUGGAGUGCGGCAGAGGGGGAUGGAAUUCCGCGUGUAGCAGUGAAAUGCGUAGAUAUGCGGAGGAACACCGAUGGCGAAGGCAAUCCCCUGGGCCUGCACUGACGCUCAUGCACGAAAGCGUGGGGAGCAAACAG
Molecule: ribosomal RNA, 251 nt
Filed under: uncultured prokaryote
Description: partial 16S ribosomal RNA
Rfam family: Bacterial small subunit ribosomal RNA
Source: RNAcentral